RNAcentral lists this ribosomal RNA (253 nucleotides) under uncultured bacterium. RNAcentral's name for it is "partial 16S ribosomal RNA". It matches the Rfam family "Bacterial small subunit ribosomal RNA", at positions 524 to 776 of the family's 1533-position model. The record is from RNAcentral.
UACAGAGGUCUCAAGCGUUGUUCGGAUUCAUUGGGCGUAAAGGGUGCGUAGGCGGCGCGGUAAGUCGGGUGUGAAAUCUCGGAGCUUAACUCCGAAACUGCAUUCGAUACUGCGGUGCUUGAGGGCUGGAGAGGAGACUGGAAUUCAUGGUGUAGCAGUGAAAUGCGUAGAGAUCAUGAGGAAGACCAGUGGCGAAGGCGGGUCUCUGGACAGUUCCUGACACUGAGACACGAAGGCCAGGGGAGCAAACGGG